UCCUCGGUAGCUCAAUGGUGGAGCAGGCGGCUGUUAACCGCAAGGUUAGAGGUUCGAGCCCUCUCCGGGGAGCAA
This 75-nucleotide transfer RNA is filed under the name uncultured Thermomicrobiales bacterium. RNAcentral describes it as "tRNA-Asn-GTT". It matches the Rfam family "tRNA". Rfam says of the family: Transfer RNA (tRNA) molecules are approximately 80 nucleotides in length. Their secondary structure includes four short double-helical elements and three loops (D, anti-codon, and T loops). Further hydrogen bonds mediate the characteristic L-shaped molecular structure. tRNAs have two regions of fundamental functional importance: the anti-codon, which is responsible for specific mRNA codon recognition, and the 3' end, to which the tRNAs corresponding amino acid is attached (by aminoacyl-tRNA synthetases). tRNAs cope with the degeneracy of the genetic code in two manners: having more than one tRNA (with a specific anti-codon) for a particular amino acid; and 'wobble' base-pairing, i.e. permitting non-standard base-pairing at the 3rd anti-codon position. Lineage: Bacteria; Pseudomonadati; Thermomicrobiota; Thermomicrobia; Thermomicrobiales. The record is from RNAcentral.